GAUGAAGAACGUAGCGAAAUGCGAUAAGUAAUGUGAAUUGCAGAAUUCAGUGAAUCAUCGAAUCUUUGAACGCACAUUGCGCCCCUUGGUAUUCUGGGGGGCAUGCCUGUUCGAGCGUCAUUAUAACCCUCAAGCCUAGCUUGGUGUUGGAGCAUGCUACCUAAGCAGCUCUUAAAAUCAGUGGCAGUGCCCUUCGGCUCUAAGCGUAGUAACUUCUCUCGCUAUGGAACCCGGAGGGUACGCGCCAGAACCCCCAACUUUCUAUGGUUGACCUCGGAUCAGGUAGGGAUACCCGCUGAACUUAAGCAUAUCAAUAAGCGGAGGA
Molecule: unclassified non-coding RNA, 325 nt
Filed under: soil metagenome
Description: partial contains 5.8S ribosomal RNA, internal transcribed spacer 2, and large subunit ribosomal RNA
Rfam family: 5.8S ribosomal RNA (bases 1-120)
Source: RNAcentral